Molecule: long non-coding RNA, 1572 nt
Filed under: Homo sapiens (human)
Lineage: Eukaryota; Metazoa; Chordata; Mammalia; Primates; Hominidae
Description: HSALNT0002759
Source: RNAcentral
UCUGCUUAUGAGAUAAAAGAACUGGCUGAAAUUGGUUGGAACCAAUAAGGCCAAUUGCAGCUUGCACAGAACAAGUUUGCUGAUGUCAAAGCCUGAAUUGCCACUGCACGUUUCAUACUCACUCCUCCCAAAUCUGCACAGGGGACCCAUGAGUUGGCAUGAACAGAUAACUGUGCAUGUCCAAGGACUGUCCAGACUUCUCCUUUCCUUCCAUCAAUCACCUGCUAAUCUUAGAAUCCACCCCUUAAACCUCCUCUAAUAAAAUUACCGCCUUAAAGCUAGCACAGGGAGACAGGGUUGAAUUCAACUCCUGUCUCCAUAUGAGUCGACUCACAAUAGAAAGCUUGGCUUUUCUCAAAAAUCCAGUGUGACUGCUUCUAGCACAUCAGGCUAGAGCCCCCUUUGCUGCAUAACAAUGGUGGAGGGAAGCGAAUGGGGCAGAGCCUAGACGGUGCUGGGGAGAGAGCAGGGCACCGGCCUCUCCCAGCACUGCAUGGUCCCCAGGCUGUGUGGCUGCAGUCCACGUGUGCCCACGCGCUGCUCCUGCUCUUGAGUCAACCUGAGUGGCCCCUGUUCUAUGCAAUCAAAGGAGCCAGAGCAUCGUUUCCACCCUCGGGCCCCUGGGCAAGUCAUGAUCACAGCCCCAGGCUGUCAGGGCCCCAGCAGGUGUCAUGGGAGCUCAGGGGCAGAGGAGUAUGGCUGUACUGGGGAGAUACAUGGUGGGGUUGCGGGUGUCUGAACUGAGACCUGAAAUGUGGGAGGAGGGCAGCCCAGGUAUAGCCAGCUGUACGCUCAAGAGAUGGUCACAGAGAAGCCUGGCACAUUCGGGGAAGGAGCUAUGAAGCCAGCGUGGUGGAGUGUAGGGUGCUGAUGAGAAGGGUGAGAGAUAAGGCGGGAGACGUGGUGAGAUGAGCAGGUUAAGCGCCUUCAAUCUCUGGGCCCCAGGAGAGCAGAGGCUAGGAGGAAAUGAACCCAGGGUGUUCUUGGGAAAGCUUCUCCCAAGGUGUACCAGAAGUUGAGGUAAUGUACCUGCUGCCACAUCUAUCCGGUCAUUCAACAGGUAUUUACUGAGGGUAUGCAGUAAACAAAGAGUGUUUACAGUACAGCUGGAGCAAAAAGGAACCAACAGAAAAAGACGUGUUAUUUGAGGCCAGACAGUGAGAACUGCUAAAGGAACAAAGUCCCUGAAGAGGGACAGGGACUAUGUCAGAUGGGAGGUCUCAGCAGCAGACAUCAUGGUGCUCCGGCAGCAGGACAGCACCACGUCGGCCGGCUGCCACUCAUGCCACAAAAGGAGGCAUCAAGGAUCAUGUUAGCCCCAAAGCAGCUGACAUUCAGGUGUCCACUUUCUCCAAAAAGGCCUCAGGAGAAGCAGCAGCCACUUGAGCAGCUACCUCCACCGGCCUGCAGGGACUCCCAGUCACAUUGGAAACCUCCAAACCAUGGAAGGGGUUUUCCACAACCACUCCCUUAAUUUCAUACUUUUGCCUCCCUGCUUCUGACAGAAUGAAGAUCUAUAAACCAGCCCUCCAGUAAAUCACCAAAAAUGCAGCAGACCCACCUCUUCUUGGU